GAUCAUGGCUCAGGACGAACGCUGGCGGCGUGCCUAAUACAUGCAAGUGGGACGCAAGGAAACACACUGUGCUUGCACACCGUGUUUUCUUGAGUCGCGAACGGGUGAGUAACGCGUAGGUAACCUGCCUAUUAGCGGGGGAUAACUAUUGGAAACGAUAGCUAAUACCGCAUAAUAUUAAUUAUUGCAUGAUAAUUGAUUGAAAGAUGCAAGCGCAUC
RNAcentral lists this ribosomal RNA (219 nucleotides) under uncultured bacterium. Its description in RNAcentral is "partial 16S ribosomal RNA". It matches the Rfam family "Bacterial small subunit ribosomal RNA", at positions 15 to 216 of the family's 1533-position model. The record is from RNAcentral.